This is a long non-coding RNA of Drosophila teissieri, 558 nucleotides long. RefSeq lists it as uncharacterized. The record is from RefSeq and is a predicted model, not a curated record. The transcript is spliced from 4 exons. Lineage: Eukaryota; Metazoa; Arthropoda; Insecta; Diptera; Drosophilidae.
AGUUUUCUGUUGAGUCUAACGAAAAAUUUCGUUCAAUAUUUAUUUGAUUCUAAGGUGAUAAAAAAGCAAAAUGUGUUUGAGAAAUCGUUUUGAACUCGGUCUUGACGCCUUCGGCAUAAUAAUAGGCAAUGCCGUUAUAAUUACAAUCAUGUCUAUCGAGAAAACACUUGAAUUAUACCUCAAAAUACUUCUUGGUGGAUAUAGCUUUCUAAUUUUAGCUGCAAUAUUUUUAUUGCUUGGAGUAAUCUUGAAAAACCUCUUUCUUCUGUAUGCUUGGAUGGCUAUAUUGCUUCCUGGAGCUGUUCUAACUUUUAUCGUAACUGUGCUCCAGUUGGCCAAGGAAUGGGAUCUCAUAUACUUUUUGUUCGGUGUAGUGUGGCCAGUUGCCUUAUUGUAUACAUUAUAUUUAUCAGUGAUAUAUGCAUUACGAUUGAAAAGAUCAACUGAUCAUGACUGAAACACUCCAAUGCUAUUUAAUUUAAUUUGUAAAAUUGUCUGUGUCCUUAUCGAAACCAUUUUAAAAGCUAUAUAAAUUUGUCUUUAGAUUGAUAAAACAAA